UGCAACUGCUGGCCCUCACCACAGCCACAGCAACUCAGGAUCUAAAACACAUCUGUGACGUACGCUUCAGCUUGUGGCAGCACUGGAUCCUUAACCCACUAAGUGAGGCCAGGGAUCAAAUUUGCAUUCUCCUGGAUACUAGUUGGAUCCUUAACCCACUGAGCAAGGCCAGGGAUCAAACCUGCAAUCUCAUGGUUCCUAGUCGGAUUUGUUAACCACUGAGCCACAACGGGAACUCCGAUAUAACAUUUUGUAUAUUGCUUCUUCUUAGAAUGCUUUCUUCAUUUAUUUUCCUCUAUACAAAUCCACCCUAUCUUUUCAGGCUCUUUCUGCUGAGCAAAGCCUUCCCUGGCUAGUCUAGGGCCCUUACUCCAGAACUUUUUUAGACUCUAUUAAGGUAUCCACUGUUGGUGUUUUGAGUUUGACCCAUCCUCUACGAAUGGUUAUUGAUUGUUGUAUAUUUGCAAGUACACAGUCAUAUAUUUCUUUUUCUUUCCUGUGAGGCAUAGCACAAUUGUAAGUGCUCAACAAAUUAUUGAAAAGGUGAGUGAAUGAAUGACUCACUUCAGCAUUAAUACCCCAGAGAGAAUUCAAAUGUUUUACUGUUAUAUACUGUCGUUUUCCAGAACAUGGAGGAAAGAGGCAACGUGGAAUUUCCCUAGUCUACUCAAAUGAGGCAGUCCAAUCUAAACAAUUUGAUCUAUUCAAAAAUUAAUGAUAUUAAAAUACCUCAAAUGAGUUUAUAUUAGAAUUCAAAAUUUUCUCUUUAGUCUGAAACAAAUUUGCUACUGCUAUUUUGUCCCAACUUCCAAAACCAAAAAUGCAUGAUAUAUCAUGCAUGAGAACAUUGGCAUUAUGGAAAAUAAAAGAUAGGUCCUAUAGCAUGUGAAUUGGUAUUACAGCAUGAUUUCAACAGUCUGGUGUCAAACAACACACUUUAUACCAAAUGCCAUUUUGCAUAUCAAAUAAUGAAGUGAACUCCCUGCCUGGUGAAAAACAAAGAAUCUUUAUUAUUGAUAUAGAGAAGUUGUUUUAAAUUUUAAAGUUAAAAUAAGGAAGUUCUUUGAAUAUUGCCUAACACACUAUUGUGGGAAAAAAGUUAGAAGCAUUCCAGAACAUACCACCCUAUUUUGCAUUUCUAUUGAACAGUUGGGGUUUUUUUUUUACCAACUUGCAAUAUUUGCUUUAUAAAAUAAACUUUAACUCAAAUACCAAUUUAUCGUCUUGACAAGAGAAAAGAGCUGAAUUGUAUAUUGUCAAGUUCCUGACCAGAUAGAUGUUUUGGUUGUAAAUUAUUAAACUGUAAAAUCUCUUGGUAAACUAUGAAGCAGUAGCUCCACAAAUGUAAAGUGUUUUAAUUGUUAUUAUGCACAAGGUAUAACAUUUCUGCACAAUGCUGGAAAAUAUGAGUUAAGUGAAUACAUCUAUAAAAAAUACUGUGUCACUUGAAUAGUAGAUAUAAAGCAUAAUAAAUCUCAUAGUAGAUUUUAAUCAUUUAAAUCAAUUUCUUUCAUUUAAACUCCAAAGGAUAUUUCAUUCUUAGUUUAGCCACCUCUGAUGGAAACUUCUCUUCGCAAAAUGAACAUAGUGAAAAUUCUCAGAAAACAGACAUUAAUACUGAUUUUUUAAUUAACUUUAUUUUAUUUAGCUCUCUAGCUUCUGAUAAAAUAUGAAUGGAAGGUGCUUAUUUUUAGUUUAGGCUUUGCCAAUCUUACUGUCCCCUGGUAAUCUGAGUUCAUCAGAAUGGAGCAGCACAUGAUAUAGAAUUGGUAGAGACCAGACAGGCUAAGCAGGCGUGGCGUUUUUAUGGAAUUGUUAGAUCUGGAAAAAUCUUGGAGAUCAUCUGGGCCAGUAUCUUUGUUUUGCAUGUGGGGACAGUGUGGCCCUGAGGUCACCCGACUUGUUAGUUACAGAGUCAGGCUUAAACUAUUCUUUCUCUUCAGCCCAUGGUUUCUACCUUGGUAAAUGACGUAUGGGAAAACUAAGAAUAGAAAAAGCAUCCAGAAAGACAAGUAGAUGAAAUAGAUGACAGUUUCGUCUAAACUGGUUGGGAAGCCCUACCAUUUUAUCCACACCCACACAGCUCUCAGUGGUCUACCAUCCUUGAGAGACUUAGAUUUCAGCCCAUGACUGAAAAUUACUGCAUUGUUAAUUACACGAAUGGAACUGCUCUUAUGUUUUCUUAUCCAUAUUUGUCACUGGAUGUCCCCAUUUUUCAAAAAGGAAAACAGCUAUUGACCUCCCACGAAUCCUCACUGUGGCGUGUCCUUCAUUUUCAUCAGAGGCAUUUUCUAAUAUUUGUCGAGUGCUAACUUUGGGUCAGCUAGAGUGCUAAUCGCUCCAACAGCAUUACUUCAUUCACUCUUCAUAAAUAACCCUAUAAAGCAAAUACUAUUAUUCUCCCACAUUUUAAAGACAGUGAAAUUGAAGCUUAGGUUAAGUUCCUCAAGAUGCAUAACUAGUAAGUGGCAGAGCUAAGACUGGACAAAAUCGAGUGAGUUCAGAGUGGCACAGCCAUAGAUGCAGAGUUAAUAUUGGACCCCAAGUUGUUUGACAUCAAACCAGACCUCUUAAACACUAUUGCUAUUUUCUGCCUUUAGGAAUGAAACCAGCCUUCCCAAAAUAAGAAACAUCCUUAUAAAAAAAAAAAAAAAAA
This 2656-nucleotide long non-coding RNA is filed under the name Sus scrofa (pig). RNAcentral's name for it is "lncRNA (ENSSSCG00050004074.1)". Lineage: Eukaryota; Metazoa; Chordata; Mammalia; Artiodactyla; Suidae. The record is from RNAcentral.